This is an RNA transcript of Numida meleagris (helmeted guineafowl), 3689 nucleotides long. It is a transcript of the gene named peroxisomal biogenesis factor 7, with no coding region annotated. Lineage: Eukaryota; Metazoa; Chordata; Aves; Galliformes; Numididae. The transcript has 11 exons. The record is from RefSeq and is a predicted model, not a curated record.
GGCUCUGCGCGCUGCAGGGCGCGGCACCGCCUCCCAGCUUCGGCUGGGGCCGGGGCCAUGGGCACGGUGAGCGGCGGAGGCGCCCUGCGGCUGCCGGGGCUGCACGGAUACGCGGCGGAGUUCUCGCCCUACUGGCCGGGGCGCGUGGCCUGCGCCGCCGCGCAGUACUACGGCAUCGCAGGUUGUGGAACUCUGGCAGUGCUGGAACAAAACGAAGCUGGGAUUGUCCUACUCAGGAGCUUUGACUGGAAUGAUGGCCUGUUUGAUGUGACGUGGAGCGAGAAUAAUGAGCAUGUGUUGAUCACUUCUAGCGGGGAUGGAUCUCUGCAAAUCUGGGAUAUAGCUAAGCCCAAAGGUCCGCUGCAAGUCUAUAAAGAGCACACUCAGGAGGCAUAUAGUGUUGACUGGAGCCAAACUAGAGGAGAGCAGCUAGUCGUUUCUGGUUCAUGGGAUCAAACAGCCAAGCUGUGGGAUCCAGCAGUGGGAAAGUCUUUACGCACUUUUAAAGGCCAUGACGGGGUCAUUUACAGCACUAUAUGGUCUCCACACAUCCCUGGUUGUUUUGCAUCUGCUUCAGGUGACCAGACUUUAAGAAUUUGGGAUGUGAAAGCCCCAGGAGUCAGACUUGUGAUACCAGCCCACCAGGCUGAGAUCUUGAGCUGUGACUGGUGCAAGUAUGAUGAGAACUUGCUGGUAACUGGUGCGGUUGACUGCAGUUUGAAAGGCUGGGAUUUGCGAAAUGUCCGGCAGCCAGUGUUCAUCCUGCUUGGUCAUACCUAUGCUGUCAGAAGAGUGAAAUUUUCACCUUUCCAUGCAACUUUAUUGGCCUCUUGCUCCUAUGAUUUUACUGUGAGAUUCUGGGACUUUUCCAAGCCUAACCCUUUGCUGGAAACGGUUGAGCAUCAUACUGAAUUUACAUGUGGACUAGAUUUAAGCCUUCACAAAUGUGGCCAGGUGCAUAUUUAUUUAUAAAGCAGUUACUUGUGUUGAGCCGGAGAAGAGGACAGAACUGACAGAAUUACCAAAUCAGGUAGCUGAAAGCCAUGGCAAGCUCGUGGAAAAUGAGGUGGCUUUAUUUUGGAAGGAAGAGUAAUGGAGAAUGGUCUAGGAUACCAAACAAAGACAUGGAGCUGUGUUCCAUCUACUUGAAAAGUUAAGGUGGUAGACUGUGCUUGGGAUGAACUUGUCAAGAUCUACACUCCAUCAUGUCUGGCAGCUGCUGCCUAGAGAGAAAUUGAAGAUCUGACACACUGGGAACCUUUUUGUCACCGUCCACAAUGAGACUUGUGCUAAACUGUCAAUUGUGUCACUAAUCUUUGUGUCUUUUUUUAAGUAAAAGUCUGAACUGAGGUGUUAUGCACUUGAGCUUGUAGACUUGUUCUACCAGACAAGUAGUACUUGGGUCAGCAAAAUGUUCAACAGCUACUGAUUGGCUAAGGAGUGACAGAAGCAAAUAUGAACUGGUGUCUUCAGAACUACCAACAAAAUUUUGUGAUUUGUCUGGCUAAUGGGGCAAACAGAGGCCAGAAUCUUUGUGACUUGUAUAAAGAAUAAAAGUAGCUGGUGGUGCAUUUGGAGAUUGUCACUGUAGAAAAAGAAGAGUCUUUUCACUAUAAAGUACUUUAAUGUCAACCUGAGGCUUGUAUCCCUGAAAUCCGUUUAUAUUGAAUCGUUUUGCUGUGACUCACAUUGCAUUAUCUUCUUGUCCAAUAUGAUGAAUACUCUUGAUAGACAGUAAAUGUCAUAGUUUAUAGCCAGCUGAUUCUUUUAACCUUUUUGAUUGCUGCUUCAAAGAGAUGGUAAAGAUUAUUUUCAUACAUUUUUCUCUUGGAUCUUCUUGAGUAAAACAGUUAAUGAAGUCAUGCAGAAAAAUACUCUAGGGAAACAGAGAAAACACUUAGGAAAAAAUGAAUUAUAAACAACCCUAACUGGAUCACAAUCUUCAAGAUUUAGAGAUAUGAUAACCAUCUCUUCUAUUAGAUUUAUCUUUUACUUUCACUUAGAGAGUUUUUCCAAGAGAUAGGAGUGUGGCCAUACAUUCAGCGUUUCUGGAGCUCCCACAGUCUGGCCAAAGUUGAGAGCUGAUGUCCAGACCAGGUGAACAUACACACGUGUGGAUUAACUGCAUGGCAUAAGCACAGCGGCUCCAGAGUAGCCAAGCUAUUAUCAGAUGUGCAAGAAUAUGCCCAACAUUUUAUAGCUGUAGUAGUUUCUAUGCUCACUUUGACUCCUCAGCUCACGUGGUGCGAUUUUGGCAGGAGGGUUGGAACUAGAUGAUCUUUAAGGUCCCUUCCAACCCAAGGCUGCUCUCUUGGUCUCAUGCCAGCCAUUCACACCCCUCCUUUUCUCACUUUUUUUUUCCCUAAACGUUAUUAAAACUGUCUCAUUUCUGCUGCUACCCCAUAUCACCAGACUUCAUCAUUAAAAAAUUGCAGGUGCCAAUUUUUCUGCCAGGUUUUUAUGGUCUUCUGUUAAUGAAUGCUGUACGCUGCUGGGUUGCACCACUCAUAUAUCAAGCAAUAGCAGACACUGCCAGACCUGCUGGAUGAAGAAAUGAAAGGAAGAAUUCUGCAGAGCUAAGACUUGCAAGUUGCAAGGAAAGAGUUAUUGUGCUAUCUUGGAGAAUGAGCCUGGGAGCUUGCAGGCGGCCACAGAGCAAUAUGGACAUACGGACUCAGUGCUAGAACAAGACAGAAAGAAACCCCCCUUUCACAAGAUGAAAAAUUUGGAUAAGUUUUUCUGGAUCAGUGCAAACUGGCCCUGGAAUGCCAUCUUGUUAAGGUGAAUGAAAUACAAAGCAAAGUAGAUUUUCUGUUGUACCAAACAGUUGAACCAAAUUCCACGUUUAUUGCACUUCUGUGUGAUGAGGAAUGAUGCAACCAUAAAGCUAUGCUAUGUAGAGCUUUCAGCAAUAUUAUGGGCCAUAAAAUCUCAUUGUAGGUAUUAAAUUUAUUAUUUUGGCCUUAACAGUAAUUCCAGUUUUCUGCUCUAUCCCUUUUUUCUGCUUAGACUGCAAGUUACUUGAGUGAGUGGUAUAUUUUGGUGGUGACUGUGUAUUGUGUAUGCGUGUUUCUGUUGGGGUGGAUGUUUCUAGAAUAUUGCCGUAGUUUAUUGGUUAGAAAGGCAGAUUUGUAAAAAUGAACACAGGGAAAGAAACAGUGCCCAUUCUGAUCACGCACACUCAACGCAUGGAUUAAACCUUUUCCUUACAGCCUUCACUUCCCCUCGUAUCCAGGUUAGCUUCUGUGCUGAAGUUUGCUGGGAUUUAAUUCUCUUGAAAAAUGGAUGAAUCCAGAAGAUGUGUAAAGUGAACAAAAACUGUGGCCUUUACUCUUCCUGUUUGAUCUUUGAAUGGGGAGAACAUGCUGUAAUCUUUUGCACUGUAACAGAAAAAAAUCUUUCAAUAGUUGUUGCUGAAUCUUAAUUCUCAGGGAAUCGUUAAAAAAAAUUCCCCAUUUAAUGUCCACUGUACUAGCUUCUGAUCUUUGUUUUUUGUUUCUAUUGAAACAGGCCUUUGACUAUGGCAAUCGCAAAGAUACGUGUUCUACUUUUAAACUUGCUCUUGUGGAAGAUUUUGUUUAAUGGGAGUGUAUAGGUUUCUUCUUGGUUCAAGAGAUGUAUUGAUUAAUCAUGUUUUAAAGGAGUGGAUUUGUUAUUCUGCAGUGCUAUUAAAUUAAUUGCAUACGGUA